UAGUUCUUCUGCUAUGCUCAAUACUUCAGAUCGUCAUGUGAUUUGUGCUGAAUUUUGAUUCAAUCCCAGUUGUGAGUCCUGUAAUCGUAACUCAAGUUUAUUAGGCACUAGAUACAGAAGCUCGUACUAGCAUUUUUCUUGUACUGGUAUAUUACCAUCACAGUACUGCCAUAUUUUUGUCGGCAUCACUGGGCACAGUUGGGAAGAGGUACACAGAUACAGGAGGCUCCUUACCAUCCCAAUAUCUAUUCAACCCUAUAAUGUUUAUAUUUUUAAAAAUUUAGAAUAAUAUUUUUGUAUUUACUUCUUCCAGUAGAUCGUUGAAUGUUACAACUGCUACCAGUACUAGGAUCUGAAUGAAGACCAUGUUGGGGUCUUUUGCUGGAACCACUUAUACUUGAUGAUGGUGGCUGAUAUAUGGUAGUCGGCAGGGCUGUCUGGUCCCAGUGGUGGUGGUUCUUGGGCUGGUUUUCUGUGUAGUAGUGAGGGCUAUUCCCUUGCCACUAUCACUUAUUACCUGCCUGACAGCAUCAUUGACCGUGUUUCUUAGGCUGUUGGCAGAUUUUUCAGAAUAUACAA
RNAcentral lists this long non-coding RNA (579 nucleotides) under Amphimedon queenslandica. Its description in RNAcentral is "uncharacterized LOC109580396, transcript variant X2". Lineage: Eukaryota; Metazoa; Porifera; Demospongiae; Haplosclerida; Niphatidae. The record is from RNAcentral.